Molecule: ribosomal RNA, 428 nt
Filed under: uncultured Kofleriaceae bacterium
Lineage: Bacteria; Pseudomonadati; Myxococcota; Haliangiales; Kofleriaceae
Description: bacterial SSU rRNA
Rfam family: Bacterial small subunit ribosomal RNA
Source: RNAcentral
UGGGGAAUAUUGGACAAUGGGCGCAAGCCUGAUCCAGCCACGCCGCGUGAGUGAUGAAGGCCUUCGGGUCGUAAAGCUCUGUGGGGAGGGACGAACCGCUGGAUAUUAAUACCAUCCAGCAUGACGGUACCUCCUUAGCAAGCACCGGCUAACUUCGUGCCAGCAGCCGCGGUAAUACGAAGGGUGCAAACGUUGCUCGGAAUUAUUGGGCGUAAAGCGCACGUAGGCGGCCCAGCAAGUCGGAAGUGAAAUCCCACGGCUCAACCAUGGAAGUGCUUUCGAAACUGCUAGGCUUGAGUACAAAAGAGGAUCGCGGAAUUCCCGGUGUAGAGGUGAAAUUCGUAGAUAUCGGGAGGAACACCAGUGGCGAAGGCGGCGAUCUGGGUUGAUACUGACGCUGAGGUGCGAAAGCGUGGGGAGCAAACAGG